CUGAGUUCAUGACCUUACGGGUAGAUCUCCCACCCUUGAAUAUCUAAACCUUUGUUGCUUUGGCGGGCCGCUUCGGCUACCGGCUCCGGCUGGUGGAGUGCCCGCCAGAGAACCUUAAACUCUGAAUUACGGUGUCGUCUGGAGUACUAUAAAAUAGUUA
This 160-nucleotide unclassified non-coding RNA is filed under the name soil metagenome. RNAcentral describes it as "partial internal transcribed spacer 1". The record is from RNAcentral.